UACGGAGGGCGCGAGCGUUGUCCGGAAUCACUGGGCGUAAAGGGCGCGUAGGCGGCCUGGUAAGGCUCGCGUGAAAGCCCGGGGCUCAACCCCGGGUCGGCGCGGGCGACUGCUGGGCUGGAGCACGGUAGGGGCAGGCGGAAUUCCGGGUGUAGCGGUGGAAUGCGUAGAGAUCCGGAAGAACACCGGUGGCGAAGGCGGCCUGCUGGGCCGGAAGUGUCUUAACGGACACGUGCUGACGCUGAGGAGCGAAAGCGUGGGGAGCAAACAGG
This 272-nucleotide ribosomal RNA is filed under the name uncultured bacterium. Its description in RNAcentral is "partial 16S ribosomal RNA". It matches the Rfam family "Bacterial small subunit ribosomal RNA", at positions 524 to 776 of the family's 1533-position model. The record is from RNAcentral.